Molecule: ribosomal RNA, 375 nt
Filed under: Triticum aestivum (bread wheat)
Lineage: Eukaryota; Viridiplantae; Streptophyta; Magnoliopsida; Poales; Poaceae
Description: partial small subunit ribosomal RNA
Source: RNAcentral
AGGUUCGAUCGAAGGAACAAUCAGAAUAUAUCGGAUUGGGCAAACAAACAUCGUGCGUGGAUAGAAAUUUGGAAUCAAAGAGACACGUUAGUGCAAUCAGAGAAUAGACCUCACAAUCAGUCAGCAUAUCAGAAGUAUCAAGUGUGGUAUGCGGAUCGUUACCGGUUAAAGCUAAAGCCUGGUUGGACUCACGAGGAGUGGUCGGAGUUGGUGUCUGAAGAACCGGAGACUGCAGAAGGUUAUCAUACCUUCAACACAGCUGUGAGAGACACCAGAGGGGCUCACGUUGACUAUGCACCGAUGCAUGACGAAAUGGUAGUCUGUUUGACCUAUUCUAACAAACUUGCAUCAUGUUGUCUUCUUUCAAAUACAUAA